This 400-nucleotide ribosomal RNA is filed under the name phytoplankton environmental sample. Its description in RNAcentral is "partial small subunit ribosomal RNA". It matches the Rfam family "Eukaryotic small subunit ribosomal RNA", at positions 587 to 985 of the family's 1831-position model. The record is from RNAcentral.
AGCUCCAAUAGCGUAUAUUAAAGUUGUUGCAGUUAAAAAGCUCGUAGUUGGAUUUCUGGUUCGAGCGCUUGGCCCCCCGCGCAAGCGGGGUUGCGCCGUGGCGUCUCGCUCCAUCCUCGGGUGGCUCCUUGGUGGCAUUAGGUUGUCGUCUUGGGAAAGCCCGUCGUUUACUGUGAAAAAAUUAGAGUGUUCAAAGCAGGCCUUUUGGCGUUGGAUACAUUAGCAUGGAAUAAUAAGAUAGGACUUUGUUGCUAUUUUGUUGGUUUGCGCGACAGAGUAAUGAUUAAUAGGGAUAGUUGGGGGUAUUCGUAUUCAAUUGUCAGAGGUGAAAUUCUUGGAUUUAUGGAAGACGAACUACUGCGAAAGCAUUUACCAAGGAUGUUUUCAUUAAUCAAGAACG